CCAUCUCUCUCUCUCUUUUCAAGAAAAAAGAAAUCAUAAAAAUAAACAAUCAAACAUAAGGGAAGGAUUGAUUCAUAGUAGCAAAUAUUAUUUCUCAUUUUUGUUUGUUCCUUCUUCUUUUGAGGCCAAAAGAGACCAGAUUCAUUUUUGGUUUCUUCAAAGGCCAAACCUUUUUUUUCUUAUUUUCUUAUUUUCUCAGCAAACCUUUCUGCCAUCUUACAAAGAAAGAAAGAAAUCUGUUUGUCUGAGAAUUAUCUCGAUCCCUUUUGGAUUCCGAGUUUACAAGAACAUUCAUGAACUUCGAGUAAUCAUCUUCUUGUAGUAAUAGUCCAGGAAGAUACAUAUAAACAUAUAGACAGAAUGAAAAUAAAUUGCUUGCUCUGUUGUAUGUCGGAGAGACGAUUUACCAGACGAUCAUCAUCGAGACAAAGCAUCAAAGACUGCAUUGAUGCAAAGAACAAUAUAACUACAUUUGACAACAUCUCUUUUAAAACAGGUUCCAGUUUUUACCUUUUUCAUUAUGUAGAUACAUUCUCAAAAUAUUCCCUAAAAGCUUUCUAUCUAAACGAAGUGAGACAUAUUUGCACAUACCUGCAGAUAGCAGUAGGCGAAGAUAUAUAUCCGAGGAGAUAGCAAAACUCGGGAAAGGGAACAUUAG
RNAcentral lists this long non-coding RNA (658 nucleotides) under Capsella rubella. RNAcentral describes it as "long non-coding RNA (CRUB_LNC003694)". The record is from RNAcentral. Lineage: Eukaryota; Viridiplantae; Streptophyta; Magnoliopsida; Brassicales; Brassicaceae.